This is a long non-coding RNA of Parus major (Great Tit), 996 nucleotides long. Lineage: Eukaryota; Metazoa; Chordata; Aves; Passeriformes; Paridae. The record is from Ensembl.
CCUGACUCCAUUCUCCACUAAAAGCACUUGGGUGUCGAUCUCAGAAAGUUGCUGGGUGAUUUUGGAAAUAAUCCCUUUUUCUGGAAAGCUGUUUACCCAGAUAAGCACCAUCCCUCUCCCUGCUGAAGCAGCAGCUGUUGUGGGAGACAGCUGAAGUGCAAACAGGCUCCUGCUCCAUCCAUCACCCCGGCACGGGCCAGGCACAGACACUUCACUUAAAGAACAACGUUUGCAGAAGAGGAGUUGGGCCACAAAUCAAUUCCCACUGGGAGGCAGGGGAUGGUUUGAACAGGAGCAGAGGUUUCCUGGAAUGAUCUUCUGGUGGGAUGAGGGGAUGAGAGCUGGAACAGAGGUCUCUGGGCAGCCAGAGCUCUUCCUAACGAUCUGUGCUGGAUGGAAAGAACCCCAAAGAGCUUUCUCUAUUGAAUUUCCAUCGUCUUCCUCAUCCCAUUUGCAUUUAAAGCCAGCUUUCAGCUGCUGUGCGUGGGACAAGACACAUUUCUGCUCAAUACCCAUCCAAUUCUGCCUGCUGUGGAUUCAGGCUGGUGGCACGGAUUGCUGCCGAUGCAGAUGGAGUUGCCUGAGAAUCCAGAGUUUCCUGGCCCUGGGAAAUCUUGCAGGGAAAUAACUGCAGCUCUGGUUGAGCCAACACCUGGCAGGAGCACGAUUUCCAUUCCAUGUCCAACACUGCCUCCCUGGCUCUUUUGAUCUUUCCUGUGGAGCCAGGGAUUAAUAUCAUUUCAACAGCACUUUCAGAAGAAUCAGCAAAUUGCAUUUGUGUCUCACCGGAGGCUCCGGAGCGACCUUUCCCUUCAGGGGGACGUGGAGUGAUGGCACCAGUGGGGUGGGCUGAGAGCAGGGAGCUGCCAGGAGAAGGGAGAUCCACGGGCUCUCAGCUCCUGCUGACUGCUCCAUCCCUCAGCAGCUCUGCUGGAAGCGUGUGCCGAGCACCAACCCCAAAAUAAAAGGGCUGUUGCUAAUAAAUUGUGCUGCUUG